UCAGCUCCCAGGUGGAUCCUGGACAGGAUGCUGCAGGUGGUGCAGGAGGGGAACCCUGCCCCAUUUAUCAUCAACACAAUAAAAAGGGGUCGAAGUGUCCGAGAGCGCCAGAGGACGCCAUGGGCUCCACAUCCGCUUGGAUUCCAGGAAAGGCGGUACAUCUACGAAAGCCCUAAUCAUAGAGGGAAAGACUGCUCGUUCCUGGCCCAGAAAUGAGAUGAGAAAUCCAGGGCCCCGUACAGGAAGGCCUUUUGCAAAGUCCAGACUCAAUUGCCUUCGCAGCCCUUAAAGUUUCUUUAGGAAGGUCUGUGGGAGAACGAGGUUGGUUUAGGAAUUGGCCCCUGCCUUGUACUACGUAGUUUUGUCAUCCAAAGUGUUUUAGAAGUUAAUUGAAUCAUAGUUACGCCUUAUUUUGAAACACUGUCAUUCAGAGAACUUAAAACCUUAUUAAUAUGCCUCAUAAUCA
RNAcentral lists this long non-coding RNA (466 nucleotides) under Pongo abelii (Sumatran orangutan). RNAcentral's name for it is "lincRNA". Lineage: Eukaryota; Metazoa; Chordata; Mammalia; Primates; Hominidae. The record is from RNAcentral.